UUAAGGGGCUUGCUUCUUAAGUUAGUGGCGCACGGGUGAGUAAUAUAUAGCUAACCUGCCCUUUAGUGGGGGACCACAGUUGGAAACGGCUGCUAAUACCCCAUACUCCUUCUGAUCUUAAGGUCAGUUGGGAAAGAUUUAUCGCUAAAGGAUGGGGCUUUAUUGUAUCAGUUAGUUGGUGGGGUAAUGGCCUACCAAGACAAUGACGCAUACCUGGUCUGAGAGGAUGAUCAGGCACACUGGAACUGAGACACGGUCCAGACUCCUACGGGAGGCAGCAGUGGGGAAUAUUGCACAAUGGAGGAAACUCUGAUGCAGCAACGCCGCGUGGAGGAUGACGCAUUUCGGUGUGUAAACUCCUUUUAUAAGGGGAAGAUAAUGACGGUACCCUAUGAAUAAGCACCGGCUAACUCCGUGCCAGCAGCCGCGGUAAUACGGAGGGUGCAAGCGUUACUCGGAAUCACUGGGCGUAAAGGAUGCGUAGGCUGGAAAUCAAGUCGAAAAGUGAAAUCCCAACGGCUCAACCCGUUGAACUGCUUUCGAAAACUGGCUUACCUAGAAUAUGGGAAGAGGUAGA
This 577-nucleotide ribosomal RNA is filed under the name uncultured bacterium. RNAcentral's name for it is "bacterial SSU rRNA". It matches the Rfam family "Bacterial small subunit ribosomal RNA", at positions 71 to 662 of the family's 1533-position model. The record is from RNAcentral.